This 376-nucleotide RNase P RNA is filed under the name Candidatus Raymondbacteria bacterium RifOxyA12_full_50_37. RNAcentral's name for it is "RNase P RNA component class A". It matches the Rfam family "Bacterial RNase P class A". From Rfam's summary of the family: Ribonuclease P (RNase P) is a ubiquitous endoribonuclease, found in archaea, bacteria and eukarya as well as chloroplasts and mitochondria. Its best characterised activity is the generation of mature 5'-ends of tRNAs by cleaving the 5'-leader elements of precursor-tRNAs. The record is from RNAcentral. RNAcentral also lists the same sequence under 5 other names. Lineage: Bacteria; Candidatus Raymondiibacteriota.
GGAGCUGGCCGGGCAGCCGCUUGCUUGUGUUCGCGCAGGCGAGAGGAAAGUCCGGGUACCACAGGGCAGGAUGCUUCCUAACGGGAAGGCAGGGCGACCUGCGGAAAGUGCCACAGAAAAUAUACCACCUCCUGAAGCGCCGGGCUUGCCCGAACGUGUCAAGAGGUAAGGGUGAAAUGGCGGGGUAAGAGCCCACCGCCCUGACGGCAACGCCAGGGGCACGGCAAACCCCAUCCGGUACAAGACCAAGUAAAGGGGGAUGAGGCUGCCCGCUUCGCCAUUACCCCAGGGUAGGUUGCUUGAGGUCCGCCGUGAGGCGGAUCCCAGACAGAUGGCUGCACAAAUACAGAACCCGGCUUACAGGCCCGCUCCUUUU